This 771-nucleotide ribosomal RNA is filed under the name uncultured Vagococcus sp. RNAcentral's name for it is "bacterial SSU rRNA". It matches the Rfam family "Bacterial small subunit ribosomal RNA", at positions 28 to 776 of the family's 1533-position model. The record is from RNAcentral. Lineage: Bacteria; Bacillati; Bacillota; Bacilli; Lactobacillales; Enterococcaceae.
GACGAACGCUGGCGGCGUGCCUAAUACAUGCAAGUCGAACGCACGAAGUUGAAGAGCUUGCUCUUUAACCAAGUGAGUGGCGGACGGGUGAGUAACACGUGGGUAACCUGCCCAUUAGAGGGGGAUAACAUUCGGAAACGGAUGCUAAUACCGCAUAGUUUCAGGGAUCGCAUGAUUCUUGAAGGAAAGGUGGCUCCGGCUACCACUAAUGGAUGGACCCGCGGCGUAUUAGCUAGUUGGUGAGGUAAUGGCUCACCAAGGCAAUGAUACGUAGCCGACCUGAGAGGGUGAUCGGCCACACUGGGACUGAGACACGGCCCAGACUCCUACGGGAGGCAGCAGUAGGGAAUCUUCCGCAAUGGACGAAAGUCUGACGGAGCAACGCCGCGUGAGUGAAGAAGGUUUUCGGAUCGUAAAACUCUGUUGUUAAAGAAGAACAAGGAUGAGAGUAACUGCUCAUCCCCUGACGGUAUUUAACCAGAAAGCCACGGCUAACUACGUGCCAGCAGCCGCGGUAAUACGUAGGUGGCAAGCGUUGUCCGGAUUUAUUGGGCGUAAAGCGAGCGCAGGCGGUUCUUUAAGUCUGAUGUGAAAGCCCCCGGCUCAACCGGGGAGGGUCAUUGGAAACUGGAGAACUUGAGUGCAGAAGAGGAGAGUGGAAUUCCACGUGUAGCGGUGAAAUGCGUAGAUAUGUGGAGGAACACCAGUGGCGAAAGCGACUCUCUGGUCUGUAACUGACGCUGAGGCUCGAAAGCGUGGGGAGCAAACAGG